CCCAUGUCCUAAAUCAUAAUGUAUCGGUUAUGCAAGAAAAUUCGUUUGGGGUGUUUCCGGUUAUGAGUUAAAAGAGAACAACACGCCGCUUCGACAGGAACGUAUUCACCAAAACUAAAUAAAGAUGCUGCUUAUUCGGAACCAAAGACGUGGCAAUCAAGGCUAGACCCAGAUAGUAUGUCAACUGUAUGUAUAGUAGGUGCAGAGAAUUGAAG
Molecule: long non-coding RNA, 215 nt
Organism: Ostrea edulis (European flat oyster)
Lineage: Eukaryota; Metazoa; Mollusca; Bivalvia; Ostreida; Ostreidae
Exons: 2
Source: RefSeq, a predicted model, not a curated record